AGCUCAGAAUCCAUUUCUUGCCUUUUACCAGAGAUGGCCGUGGCUCUGUCCAAAAUACUCCAAUACUCGAAUCUUUGGACACUUUCCUAUUCGACAAUAGUUGGUCGAUAAUUUUAUGCUCUUUUUGACUUCAUUUCCUCUAUGCGAAAUAAACUGUGUUUUGAAUGAAGGGAGAUGCUACCGGCUCUGGGUCCUUCAUCCCUUGGUGAAAUGACAAUAAUGAUCCUCUGGGCCGGUGCGUGGAUUUUGGCCUGGGUCCGUGUGUAUAAUUAUUGCAAGCUCGAUCUUAUCUAAUCCCACCCCGCAGCUUCCCCACCAUCAAUAACUGCG
RNAcentral lists this small RNA (330 nucleotides) under Histoplasma capsulatum. Its description in RNAcentral is "hypothetical RNA". The stretch from base 1 to 102 matches the Rfam family "U5 spliceosomal RNA", at positions 19 to 117 of the family's 117-position model. The record is from RNAcentral. Lineage: Eukaryota; Fungi; Ascomycota; Eurotiomycetes; Onygenales; Ajellomycetaceae. RNAcentral also lists the same sequence under 1 other name.